Lathyrus oleraceus (garden pea) is the source of this 2700-nucleotide long non-coding RNA. RefSeq lists it as uncharacterized. The record is from RefSeq and is a predicted model, not a curated record. Lineage: Eukaryota; Viridiplantae; Streptophyta; Magnoliopsida; Fabales; Fabaceae. The transcript has 4 exons.
AAGCACGUGCUAAAAAUCAAUGUUCAAAAACCAAAAUGGCGCCAGACCUUCACGGCACUUCUGGAUUCCUCCGCCGCGCCGGCGAUUACCUUCGGCGACGGCGGAGCUCUAAUGCCUACCAGAAACACAUCAUCUCAUUCACCUUCUCAGUCUGGUUCCGAAACUCUCUACGAAAUGGUCUAAUUCCUUCUUAGCAUCCUGAAUCGAAGGAGGGAAACCCGAAAGCACUAAAAUUCUAACCUAAGAUUGAAUCGUUCUCCUGCGGAAUCAAAGCCCUAGGGGUUAGGGCUUUGAUUCCUGUAGCUCAGGUUUACAUUCUGAUAUCAAAUUACAUGCAAAUUGAGGAAGCAAAGUUCACCUUUGAAAUUCUCCGGCGACGGUUGCGACGGCGACUACAAGAGGUAACCAAGUUAAUGGUUCAUGGUGUAGAAUCCAAGGAAAUCCUUUGUUGAAAGCGAUUCUGAAUCGGUUGCUAUGAGUUUGUGUGAUUUCGCUACCAAAAUGGCUCCUUUGUGAAAUUGGCUAGAGAUUUCGGUUUAUUCUGUUAGGAUUUUUGUGCAGUUCUAUGGUAUUGCAUAUGGUUGCUACCAAUCUCUGUUAUGACGUCGGAGGAGAAGUCGAUCUUUCCACGUUCUGGAAAUUGAAGUCAUGCCGUAUGCCGACUUUCUUUUGUUGAGUCUUUUUGCCGCAAGAAUAAAAAUCCAACCUUCAAUGGUAAAUAAGACACUUCCUUACUCUAACCAUCAUUUUUUAUCACCUGAAUUUCGCGUUACUUGUGAAGCGUGUUACCAUUCUACAGGAAGUAAUUUUACGAGACGUUUCUCAAGCAAAUGGUAUGACGAGAAAGAGAUGUUUGUGUUAUUUGUCGGGGAGGUGUAACAGAGUUUUGUGAAUUUCAAUAUGGAGCAACAUUAAGCUGGCUUAUGAACUUUAGACAACCAACCUACAUGCUGUGACUCUUUUGCAGUACAGGAAAAGGGGUACCUUUGCUUUAUCACCAGUGCUAUCAGGACUAGCUGGUGAUUUUGAGAAUUUAAAAGGAAGUUCAGCCAGCACAUCUGAUGGACUGAACCUGAAUUGACCUCCGAGACAGGCAGAAUUGGUAGCUUCUCACAUUCUGCUCGAACAGGUGGAAGAGCAACUUCCAGUAAUAUGCUUGAUGAACCUCUUCAACGGCGAGGAUGGACAGUCACGCUCCCGUUGCUCUCUGUGUCGCGUUUUCAAUACAGGAACAGAAGCUGGCUGGUUAUGCAUUUCAUCAAUCCCGUCUUGCUUCACAUUAACGGUUUGUCUGUCGCCGUGGGGUUGUGUUUUGGAUGGGCCUCAUGCAUUGUGGCUUUCUCAGGACUCUUUAAAGGAGCAGUCAAGGUAGAUCAUACUGCCAUUGAAGUGGCUCUGUGAUUUUGCUUCAUUGGUAUUCACCCUGUUAAAGUGUAGAAAAAGCAUUGAGUGCUUUUCCUCUCUAUGCAAGCCUUUUAACAAACAUGACUCAACAACUACAGCAAGAGGACCCUUCAUGAUUUGGCCAUCAAGACAGACUGUUAUUACUUGGGUUUUGGUUUGGAUAGUCAGAGUUGCAUUUGUUGGUUGAAUAACUGGGUAAUGAAUGGAUUUGUUGGAAGGAUUCGGAGGUAAUGUCGUUCUGUUACGAAGAUCAAAUUUGUCAUGGUUUCUUGGAGGGUUUUGUUAUGGAGUUCAAAGCGGUCGAGAGAAGGUGCGAGAAUGCCGCGGAAGAGGGGCUCGUCCUGGAUGAUUGGUUCGGUGAUUGAUUCCACCGGAUUUCUCGGUUCAGUUUUAUAUGUUGUGGAGUGCAAAAAGCAUCUUUAAGAACCACUUCUGAUUGAAGGCUUCAUAGGUUCACCCGUCGAUGGGCUAACACCUUCGGUUAUCAUCUCACAUACGAAUGCACUUUUGCACAAAACAUCGGCGGUUUGAUAUGCUUGUGAGCUGGGUACGGUCCUCGUCAGCAGCGGCAGAUGUAGCCCGGGUUAUCUUGUGACAGGUUUUUUUUUGUCGGCUGUUGCAGUAUUGACAGAGUGUAUGGUUUUUGUUGCCAUUGAAGCUGCAGGUUGGUUGUGGCUAUAGUUGCGGUUUAUGACCGUGUGCGUUUGGCUUUGCUGCUUAUGGCGGUGCUUUAACAACAUAUAUUGAACAAAGCCUGUUAUAGCAGUACUUAACACCAAGUUUUCUUGUCUCAAAUGCCCAGCCAACAAAAACCAAAUAUUGAGCAGAGUCACUUGAUGGAGCCCAUACACCUUGUCCAACACUCAAAGAUUUAUCAAUUCCUUUGACGGCCUGUACCUCUCCGCUAGCAAUGUUGAUAACAAAAAGUGCAGGCUGCCUCUUUCCCGCAUAUGUUUCUCCCCAAUCCUCUUCCAAGUCUCCUUGACCUUUGCAGCUACUAGAAUCCUUGUCAUCUUAACCACUUCUCUUGUAGCCCAGAUCAUUGAAUGUAGGCUUUUGGUACAUUGCUUUGCAUUGCAUUUGGAGCUGCAGCAUGGCGUACGGGCAUUUUAGUUUCCCCGCGGUUUCCCUCUUUUUUAUCUUACUUGAAAUAUUCCUUGGACCUUGGGUGUUAGAUAUGUAAUUGGAUUAAUGGUUAUGUAUAAUGGUUUGUAUUAGUUUAUUGGAUUAAUUGUAUUAUGGAUAAUUGGAGUGGCAACUUGGUUAUGAAUUAGAAGUGGAUUUUGAUGGAUUUUA